This is a non-coding RNA of Sarcophilus harrisii (Tasmanian devil), 291 nucleotides long. The record is from Rfam. Lineage: Eukaryota; Metazoa; Chordata; Mammalia; Dasyuromorphia; Dasyuridae.
GGAUGUGAGGGCAAUCUGGCUGUGACAUCUGUCACCCCAUUGAUCACCAGGGCCUGGCCUGGCUGGCUAGAUGGUUGUCCCCUUCCUCCCUCACCGCUCCAUGUGCGUCCCUCGUGAAGCUGUGUGCUCAGUGGAAUCCCAUCCUCGAUAGGCGUACUGUGUUUCAGUCAAGGGUAUACAAGUAGCUGUACUCCCCUGCUAGAACAAGCUCCCAAGGUCCAAAAAUAUAUAUAGAUUAAUAUAGGUUAAUUGAUCUUUAAUGACUAAAGGGGCAUUCAGGAUGUAUUCUCU